Molecule: small RNA, 223 nt
Filed under: Vigna angularis var. angularis
Lineage: Eukaryota; Viridiplantae; Streptophyta; Magnoliopsida; Fabales; Fabaceae
Description: Non-protein coding transcript
Source: RNAcentral
UUAGAAGAUCAAAGACCGCCAGAGGGUUCCUUGAGGCGAGAUCUCCAUUUCUAAACAAUUGAUUUCAGCUAUAGAGAGCAAAUAAAGAUCUUGGAGUUGUAGGAGAAAUUUUAAAGUUAUUGGAACUGUCGGAGCGUCAACCAGAGGGAUGAGACAUAUAGUGAGAGUAGUAGGAAGUCCUCUUCUAUGGGCUUUACCUUGGCCAAAGACAUUACCAAAGGGC